AGGACUAAAUUUCAAACUCUUAAAAACCUUCACUCUUAUAUACAAGGUGAACUAUAAAGUUCAAUUUACCUAAGCCAGUUUAAAAACAAGGUCUACAAGCAGAAGUGGGGUUCUACAAGCUAUGGGUCCCCGUCCUCCUCUUCAUCAUCCUCCACACUCCAAAUGGAGCCUUCAGCAAACUACACCGGGCUUUCGAGAUCUUCAAAAUCCAAGUCUACUGCAUCUAGGGACCUAAAAUGGUUAUUCAAUAACCAAUGAGACAACGUCUCAGCAAGUUCUACCCCCUAAGACCCGAUUAGUAAACUAAUACACCUUAGGGCUGCCUAUGCACAACAUAAGUCAGAGGACUUACCUUGGUCUCAGAUUCCACCUGCAUAUUAGCACAGAUCAAAUAGGCACCCAAGCAAUCACAUCACUGAUCGAAGCAUCAAUCAAAUCGACAUAGUCGAUUACAUCUCAAUCGAACCAUUCACUAGUCAUUUCCAUUCAAUCAAUCAAUUCACAACAUCAUAUCAAAGCAAUGAUCAAUCGACCUAGUCGAUUUCAUAUCAACAAGACCACUUUCGGUCAUUUCAACUAUUCCAACUCAAUUCCCAAUUAUGAAUCACGGUCCUUAGGACACAACUUAUCUAUAGGUGGUAAUCACGGCCCCACCAAGUAACUUUCUUAGAUUUAGUGGCUUUACGGUCCCACCUGACCCUUCCAAGAUUCAAUGGCUUUAUGGUUCCACCCGACCCUCUCAAGAUUCAAUGGCUUUAUGGUCCCACCCGACCUUUCCAAGAUUUAAUGGCUUUACGGUGCCACCCGACCCUCUCAAGAUCUAGUGGCUUUAUGGUCCCACCCGACCCUUUCAAGAUCUAGUGGCUUUAUGGUCCCACCCGACAUUUCCAAGAUUUAAUGGCUUUACGGUCCCACCCAACCCUUUCAAGAUCUAGUGGCUUUAUGGUCACACCUGACCCUUUCAAGAUCUAGUGGCUUUAUGGUGGCUUUAUGGUCCCACCCGACCCUUUCUACGAUGCCAUACUCUAUCACCAAGCCACGUGCAUUCUCCAACUCACUUUCGAUAUUGACAACCAAUACCCGACGGUUUCUCAAUCAAAGAAUUAAAAUCACAUCACUUAGGAAUAUACCCAAAAAUUCACAAUUAAUUUAAUUCGGCACGAUUCAAGCUCAAAUAAAUAAACGGAUUGCACCACGACAAUCAGCACAAAAUUCCGGUCACUAGCCAUCCCGGUUGAAUUUCCGAAAAAAAAAAUAAUAAUUAAUUAAUUUCGAAAAUUAAAUAAAUAAUUAUAAAAAAAAUCCAAUUUAGGUUCGUAAUGCCGAAUUGGACGCCGAGACGAGCCCAGAAAAUUACCGAGACUCGUUCCAUAAAUAACAUGGCAUGUCUACUUGCUAAUGUCUAUUUCUAACCACCUAACAUGCAUCAUUAAGUCUCUAAUUUAAUUGAUCUAAACUAAUCUAACCACCUAAUUGCAUUUAAUUAAAUCUAACCAACCCUAAGCAUAAUUAGCAAACUAAAAAGAAAGCAUUAGUGAGUAAAACUCACUUGAUUAAAAACGGGGACCAGGACACCGCGACGACGACGCGACGGCGGCCGAACUUGGGCCGACUUGCUUCACGGGCCCAGGAUGGGCUGAACUUGCUGGGCCUCGUUGAAACUAAAUUGAACUGGGCUUCAAGUUGUGAGCUUGAAGAUGGGCCGAAAACUGGGCUUGGGCUGCUGCGAACUGGGCCAAAUUCCAAUGGGCUAAACAGCUGGACUUUUGGGCUUCAAAUGGACUGAGAAUGGGCUGCUGGGUUCACUUGGGCUGAUAUUUAUUAAUUUGCGGGCUGAAUAAGAGAGCUUCAUGGGCUGUUGAACUGGGUCUAAAAUGCUGGACUGGGCUGCAACUUGAAUCGUUGAAGCAGAUGGGCCGUUGAUGCGAUCUGAUCCACGAGCGAAGAUGGGAGACAACGCGGCAAGAUCGAAGCAGCUGGCGUCGAGCGAAGACUUCGAUUGAUGGAGGAACACGCGGACGAUGUUGCUGCUAGGGAGUCUUCGAUCGUUGCUGGACACGCACAACCCCGAAAGAAAAAGAAGCCAGCUGGCGUCGGGCUUCGUGGGGGUGUGCUAGACAAGGCAACGGCGUGGCACAUGAAGCUGCUGGAGAUGAUGCAGCGAUUAACAAACCGACUGGUUUGACUGGGGAACAAAAGAUGGUGGAGGCGUGCUGGUAGAAACUGGGAGAGAUCUUCGGACGUGGCAGCUGUAGUUCCGGUGGCCACGAGCUGGAGAAGACCACGCGGAUGCUUACUCAAGUCUUCCGUGUUAAGGAGUUUGAUCGAGAGAGGGCAGCAAAGGAGAACUUGGUGGAUGUUGGGCUAAAAUCGUGAGGAUUGGGGGGUCAAAAGAAAUGGCUUCUUGUGUUGAUUGAGUUGACCGAAUAGCUUGCUGGCGUGAGAGUUCGAGGGGAUGAAGGGAAAGAAAUCAAGAGAGAGAGAGAGAGAUGGAGUUGCGGAGGGGGAGGUCGGCAAGUGUUGAAGAAGACCGAGGAUGGAGCUCACGAAAAUGGAGAAGUCUUGGACGGCAGCUGAGUGAGAGGGAAGAGAGAGAUG
RNAcentral lists this long non-coding RNA (2598 nucleotides) under Eucalyptus grandis. Its description in RNAcentral is "long non-coding RNA (EGRA_LNC004171)". The record is from RNAcentral. Lineage: Eukaryota; Viridiplantae; Streptophyta; Magnoliopsida; Myrtales; Myrtaceae.